AUCGAUCGAUACGUUUGCUUUAUCGAACCCCUCUGUUUCUCGUCCAACGAAUAACACAGAAAAUGGGCGAUGGCUUGUUCGGUGAUUACUAUCGGCGAGGACAGAAAGGGGGGAAAAAAAGGAAAAUGGAAGGAAAAUUAUAAAACGUUUGUUAUUUUUCCGUGAUAAUUUAUUUGCAAUUAUAUUUGUAUACAAAUAUUAUACAUUUUUCUACGGUUGUUUCUUUUUAAUUCUUUUGAAAUCCACGGUUUGUAAUGAUAAAUUAACAAUUUGAGAAUUGUUUACUCGUUGAGGGCCGAACGUUCGCUUCAUCUACUGCUUUUCCUUUUUUUCUUUUUUUUUUUUUAAGUCAAACUGGGUGGCUUAUUUCCUCGGCGAUUCCCUCGCAUUUAUGGCGAUUUAUCGGCAACAAAUUUCUGGGCAUCGUUCACCCUCGCCGUUUUCUUGAAACUAUGACGUGGAGAGGCGCAAACGACCGAGAUUUGUCCACGGCCGGGUGCGCGAAACAAAUUGCCCGAUAAUCAGCAGUCGCAAAUUGUGUUCUAUAAGCUUAACUUGCUCAAUCUCUUUUCCUCCGUGAAAAAGUUAAUCGGCCAGGAAUCGUUAAGGCAAGCUGAAAAACCUGUUAAAACUUUUUCCAAAAACUUCCUGUCUCCACCCUUUCCCUUAGAUACUGGCCACCCCAUUCAACCCUUCACGCGAUACAAUUUCCAAGUACAAUACGAUAUUUCUACGCGAUAAUUUAUCCAUAAAUUAAGAUAAAUUCGACGCGAUAGUAUUUUUAUUCAAGUUUCAACUCGAGCCACCUCCCAAUUUCAAAAGCAAACUUUUUUAAUCCCUUCCUCCUCCUCCUCCUUCGUUCAAAAUUAAACACGUGAGAUAUAUAAAAGAAAAAGGGAAAAACAUAACGAAAUUAUUGUUGUAAAUAUUUCAAUAACGCUUGCACACGUGUCUUUAUCACCAUUAUGUUAACUCGUUCGCAUUAAAUAUAAUCUCUCUCUCUCUACGAGUAAAAAAGGGCGAAGGGGAGGGGUUGCCAACAGUUUUUCCAGCAUCGAAUUAUCCGUCAGCCGAGUUCUCAUUAAGCCCUUUACCGGAAGAAGAGAGAGUGCAACGGGCACUCAACGUGGCUGGUGCAGCGUGGAUUGGAUUUUAUGAAGAUUUAUCGGUAUCCGGCAACGUCGCGGCAACGAAAGCUUCAAGACAGAAAACAGCGCGAGCCGAGGAAAAAGAUACUGACUCGUCGUCGAGAGGAGAAGUUGGCGCGGCGUGGAUGACAGUUUUGCGGAUGCUGGACGAAAAGGAGAAACUUUGAAACAUCCGUUUGCCGGAUGACAAGUUGGAUCGAUGGCCAUGGUCGAGAAUCUGGAUCACGUUGGGUUAAACGUGAAUCGAACCAGGACCGCCCAAGAAGGAUGUGUUGGAUGUCGUUUUAAACUCGAGCCAGUUUCCGUGGAGAUGGGAUCUAUACACACACGUAUACACACACACACACAUACGGUAGGGGGAGAGGAUGGGUCUAUCUAUUCUACAUUGUUAGGUUUAGAUUAAGUAUUAGGUAAAUUCAGGCGUGAUUCGUGUUUGGGAUGGGCUUUGAUACUGAAAUUUAGAACUGGGUUUAAACAUAAUUGAAUUCUAGAUCGGUGUAAAUUGCAAGAGGAUAUAUCCAGAUUUUUCGUUAAUUUUCAGUAAUGAUUAAAUAAUUUUCGAUCGCAAAAAUCUUCUUUAGAAUUAAAAUAUUUUCCUAAAAACUUGCGACGGUAAAAAUUUCAGUUUUAAUAUCAAUUGGAGCAGCGCUUCGUUUAAAAAUUUUGAAAAGAAACUUUUCUCUCGUACGAAGUCAGAAUAAUAUUCAAGGUGUUCUGGUGUAUCUUUUUAAAGGCAUAUAAUAAAAAAAGAAAAAAAGAAGCCAGGUGCCACGUAGCGACCCUAUCGUUUCUUCGAGGUAAAUGUACGCGGCUCGCCUCCUUCCUUCCUUCCUGCUCUUUCUUCCGUUCUUGAAAGGAACGAAAACAGAGUUUAAAGGGGGAUCGUGGCACGAGUCGCUCUUAGGAAGAGCUUACGCGACUUCGAUGUAAACUGGCGUUUCGAACGGCGGCUUAAGUCGAGGAUCGACUCGGCCGAGCCCUUAUUUUAAACACAGAGUGGCUUUGCGGGGGUUGAAUACAAUGGCUCGGCGAGCCGGCCUCGUGAAUCGGAAUUUAUGAAGAUUUAUCGAUAAACGCAGCCGAGGAAUCUAAAGCGCGUGAGAGUGGAAACCCGAAAGCGGAGUGCGUACAUCCUCGCCGAAAAUUGGUAAACUUUUAAGCCGAAUUUUUCACCAAAUUUCCUCCACCGAAGUACGACUCUUUUAAAUUAACGCGCCGUAAUUUGAUCGUCCAAUCACGAGAGUUCGAGAGUUCGUGGAAAGAAAUUAUGGGUUAAUAUUUCUUUCGAGAGGUUGGUGCAACCCCUAUAUAAGGACUGUCCCCCAUUCGCUUAAAUUACCCGGAGACACGAUCUUGUUUUGAUCGCUGCGUCAUCAAUUUAAUUCUCGACAGCAGUCGCGUACACCCUUAACCACUUAUUAAGAACACAGGAUCCGCUUAAUGUCAUAUUUCGUGGCAGAUGACACUUAAUGUCGAAUAAAGCAGGCAUACGUCCCCCCAUUAUAAAUUAGAAGGUAGAAAUUUAACCAAACUUCUCCAGCUUCGUGAAUGGAAAGAUAACGAUAUCUAACAUGAUUUAUCUCAAUAAUCUCUUUUCCCAACGUUCAAAUAAUUGUCCCAUCCCUCGUCGUUAUCCGUGAUACCUACCCUCGCAGAAUAUGAUCACGUAAUUAUUUUAAAAUGAAUCAAUUUCAGAAAUUAUCGAAGAUAAUAAGAUAUCGUGCGAAAGAUGCUUCGCUAUCGUUGAGAAUCAUCGUGGGUUUUGAAAAUUUCCACAAAAAAAAAAUCAUUCCCUCGCCAUAGAAGCCGCAAGAGAUAAAACUGUUGGACAAUCGAAUCGAGCAGAUAAUUAAGAAUUAAGAAUUGGAGGGCGUCGGUGGCCGCGCGAAUUUCGCAAACACCGGCCAAUUAAUUAGCAGCCACUGAAUUAAGCCAAUUGAUCGAGGGUCUGGCGGCGAGAGUGGCCGGUUCCGUGAAUUGAAAUUGAUUAGGAGGGGCGUUUCUUCUUUUCGUCUUCGUAGAGAUCCCUCUUCGUGAUUCUUUCGGGCAAGAAGAGGUUCGUUACGUUAUGACGGGCGAGCGACGAAGGAACUCCAUUAGAUCCGGAAAAACUGGAGCUCACGGACAGGUUGGCUCCAGUUGUUCGAGUGACUUCGAGGCACUCGGACGUGUUGCCCCGGCAACAUCGAUAUCGGAGUUGUCGGUUUGUUUUUUGCGGAAAUGUAAGGAACAUUGUUGUGUACUUGGAUCCCCUUGCAAGUUUUUCGGCAACGAUGGCCGAGGUAAAGGGAUUGUGCGGUCACGUUACACUGCAAAUACUUGUAUGUAAUACACGACAAAUAUAUGGAUUAUGACCGAUUAUCAGUUUCUGAAUAAAUGGCAACUUGGAAACGUAAAAAGUGAAUAUAAAACGAGUAAUAAAUAUUCUCUUUAUAGUUUCUGGAUUAAUGGCAAUUUGAAAGUAUACUUAAACAUAAAAGUAUAAGGACGUCAUGAUACACCCAUUGGUUUAUUAAAAAGUAUAUGAUGCUAUUUAAAACAAUAAAAUUUGAUUAAGUUUUUUACAUCCAUCUACGAAAAAGUUGAGGACAGCAGAAUACAGCCCUUUCGAAACCAAUCAACUUUUAUCCGAAGCAUUUUUUAACAUUAUGAAGACUAGUAUUAUAAGUACAUACAAGUGCAAAUAUAAAUUAAUUGUUAAUUAAAAAAUAUGUAUUAUUAAUUGUAAAUUAUAUUUAAUAAACGUUAUUUUUCAAUAAAUAAAUAAA
Long non-coding RNA from Apis cerana (Asiatic honeybee), 3916 nucleotides. RefSeq lists it as uncharacterized. The record is from RefSeq and is a predicted model, not a curated record. Lineage: Eukaryota; Metazoa; Arthropoda; Insecta; Hymenoptera; Apidae.